AGGAUCAUUAUCGUACAAAAUGUGUGAGGCAUGCGAGGGGCUGUCGCUGACUUUUAACACAAAAGUCGUGCACGCCUGAGCAUGUCCUCCCACAUAAAAUCCAUCUCACCCUUUUGUGCACCACCGCGUGGGCACCCUUCGGGAUUGAACCGAUCCGGGAGGGGGCUUGCGUUUUCACACAAACCCCUUUUUAAAAGUGUAGAAUGACCUCAUUUUUGCGAUAACACGCAAUCAAUACAACUUUCAACAACGGAUCUCUUGGCUCUCGCAUCGAUGAAGAACGCAGCGAAAUGCGAUACGUAAUGUGAAUUGCAGAAUUCAGUGAAUCAUCGAAUCUUUGAACGCACCUUGCGCCCCUUGGUAUUCCGAGGGGCACACCCGUUUGAGUGUCGUGAAAACCUCAACCUCCCYGGUUUCUUCUGGACACCGAAGGAGGCUUGGACUUUGGAGGCCUUUGCUGGUGUCUCUCUUUUGAAACCCAGCUCCUCUUAAAUGAAUUAGCGGGGUCCUCAUUGCCGAUCCUUGACGUGUGAUAAGAUGUUUCCAUGUCUUGGUUUCUGGCUCUGUUGCCUUUGGGACCUGCUUCUAACCGUCUCAACCUCACAUCGAGAC
RNAcentral lists this ribosomal RNA (612 nucleotides) under Lactarius sp. MHM308. Its description in RNAcentral is "eukaryotic LSU rRNA". The stretch from base 239 to 392 matches the Rfam family "5.8S ribosomal RNA". The record is from RNAcentral. Lineage: Eukaryota; Fungi; Basidiomycota; Agaricomycetes; Russulales; Russulaceae.